GGAUGAGAAACAAGAGCAGAUUCCACUUCUGCUGUACCAAUUCGAUGCCCACUAACAUUGAUGACAUCAUCAACUCUUCCAGUAAGCCAGUAGUAUCCAUCCUUGUCCCUGCUACAGCCAUCACCACUGAAAUAAUAGCCAGGGAAUGGCUUGAAGUAUGUGGUUUCAUAUCUUUCAUGAUCACCAUAAAGAGUUCGGAACGCCCCAGGCCAUGAGCUUUUCACACAAAGAUACCCACGACCACAUACUUCAAUCUCAGCACCCUUCUCAUCCACUAUGACAGGCUGAACACCAAAGAAAGGGAAAGUUGCAGAACCAGGCUUCUGUGGCCAAGCACCUGGCAGUGGAGUAAUCAUAAAUCCACCAGUUUCAGUUUGCCACCAAGUGUCAGAUAUAGGGCACCUGGAAUCUCCAACUACAUUGAAAA
RNAcentral lists this unclassified non-coding RNA (427 nucleotides) under Hevea brasiliensis (rubber tree). The record is from RNAcentral. Lineage: Eukaryota; Viridiplantae; Streptophyta; Magnoliopsida; Malpighiales; Euphorbiaceae.